CGUAUCUACAGGUGUAUUUUGGUAGCUGUUUGUCAAUCAAGUUCCUUUCACCUGUAAAUCCAUCAGGCUGUACAGGAAGCACAGCAGCUUCUGCUUCUGGGAGGCUUCAGGAAACUUACAAUUAUGAUGGAAGGUGAAGAGGAAGCAGGCAUGUCUUACAUGGCUGGAGCAGGAGCAACAGAGAGGAGGAGGGGAGGUGCUACACACUUUUAAAUGACAAGAUCUCGUGAGAACUCACUCGCUAUACAGCACCAACGGGUGCAGUGCUAAACCAUUCAUGAGAACUCUGCCUCCAGGAUCCAGUCACCUCCCAACAGGCCCUACCUCCAACAUUGAAGAUUACCAUUGGACAUGUGAUUUGUGUGAGGAAGCAGAUCCAAACUAUAUCAAUCCUCAAAACAACCUUAUGAGGUAGACAGUAUUAGUAUCAUCUACAUUUUUAGCUGGGAAUAUUGAAGAAUGACUACUGGCCAAAAAUGCUGGUGCUUAUAAGUAGUGGACAUGAGAUUUGAACCCAGACAAUCUAGCCAUAAGGUUAGCAACUGUCAAGGUUGCUAACUCCAAGGUUAGCAACUGUGCCAUCCUGCCUUGGGAAGAGCCUUUAGACAAUGAAAUUGUGGGAUGAUUGUUUGUUCUAGGAAUGGACUGAUACAUUAAAGACUGAGCUGUUCUCUGUCAUAGCAGCAGUGGGAUGAGAGUUGAGGAGCAAACCUUGUUUCAUUGCAGCAACAUAAAAAAAUAAAGACAGCCCAUCAGUAUUUGCAGUAUAGAACUUCAUCCUAAUUUUCCAGGGGUUUUAACCAUCUGCAUGAUGCAAGGUUAGUGAGUAGAACUUGGGGAUUUUUGAGAGGGGAGGUUGGAGUAGGAUUUCAGAACAAGAGGUUCUCAGGAAUUGGUGAUAUGAUCAGAAUUCAGAGGUAGAGUCCAAGAGGUGUUACUGAAACAGCAAGGGUUUGGUCUAGGUCCUGCUGCUCACUGCACAGAAUGCUAGUCACUGAGAUACAAGUAUUGCCAGGGAAAAAGGCUUUAAUCAGGUGCUAUAGCUGAGGAGGUGGGAGCCAGUCUGAAAUUCAUCUCUCUGACUGACUAAACUAGGACUCGAUAUAGCAGGGGAAAAAUGUAAAAAUAUGUAAAAAAUCAAAAAACAAAACAGGAACUGGUGGGCUAGGAGGCAUCUGGUGUAGUGAUCUGGUGAAUUUCAGUUCUUUGAUACUUUUUUUUGAGAGGUCUGAAGGUCCUUUCCUGAGGAAGUAUAUUAGUCUGUUUUCACACAGCUAUGAAGAACUGCCUGAGACUGGGUAAUUUAUAAAGGAAAGAAAUAUAAUUGACUCACAGUUCAGCAUGGCUGGGGAGGCCUCAGGAUACUUAAAAUUAUGGCAGAAGGUGUAGCAAGGCACCUUCUUCACAAGGCAAGAGGAAGGAGAAUGAACUACCAAACAUGUAUACAACCAUCAGAUCUAGUGAGAACUCACUAUCAUGAGAACCACAUGGGGGAAACUGCCCCCAUGAUUCAAUUAUCUUCAUCUGGUCUCUCCCUUGACAUGUGGGAAUUAUGGGAAUUAUGGGGAUUACAAUUCCAAGAUGAAGUUUUGGGUGGGGACACAGCCAAACCAUAUCAGAAAGGAACUCAGAUAAAACAAAUACAAGUUUCAAGCUUUAACAACAGAAGUGUCAAUUUCUAUGUUUAUCCCAUAAACAGUUUGUUCUAGGGAUGAACUGAUACACUAAAGAUAGAGCUGUCCUCUCUCAUGACAGUAAUGGGAUGCAAGUCAUGAGACUGUCCAUGGGACCAUUGGGUUUGUUUCAGAGGGAGAUCCAGGACUAUGUUGUGAACAGCAGGCAUAAUUACUAUAAGGGAUUUUGAUCUUUUUGAAGCUUAUUAAUAAUAAAAGUAGCCUUGUGUUACAUCUGCUGUGAAGCUUCCCGCCACAGGCAAUUUGAGGGCUGCCAAGUUACAGGACACAGGGGUUACCAUUCCCAUAGAAUAUUAAUCUGCCUGGAGUUGUGCAUAAAUGACCCUGCUGACUUGUAUGUGUCAGUGGAGAGGGAGUUUCAGAAUUUGCAGCAACUGCAGUUCCCCUUCAUGACUUUGGAAGAUAGGGAUGCCUGGAGUCCUCAUGCUCUCUCUAUCUCAGAACUCUCUUGAGUUGAUAAGGACUUUCCAAUCAGCCUUUUUUAUUAUCUCCUGCCUACUUUAACUUCAGACACAUUCACAUUCAUCAGUCUUGUCUUAUCUGAACAAUGAGCAGGGACUAGUGCCAGGCACAAUGGAAGAAGUAAUAUUCAGAGGCUUUAAUUAUAUUCACACUUAAGGAGUCUCCAGAAAGAACACUUUGCAAAUCAUAAACUAUCAGCACCAGAACUGCCACACACUUGUUUCUCAUUAUUGAUGAGCAGCUGGUUUGUUUGUGGGAUGCCUUUCAGGGUAUCCUUCAAGUGUUAACUUUGCAGCACCAUAGUUCUGGCUCUCUGGACAGAAUUGCUUUAGCCUGGUUACUUUGGUCAGUUAGAAGGAAUACACACUGUCAGUUUGAAUGCCACAAACAUUCACUGAGCACCUUCUAUAUGUCAGGGUCUCUCUGUGGUUCAGUGUUCCAUUUGGGAUGAAAGAAAAAUGAUCUCUGCUUUCAGGAGUGCACAGUGAAGAACUGAGGAAUAUAGAAGCAAAUCAACACAAAUCAACAGGAGAGGCACUGCAGAGGAGCUACUUUAAGGGAAUAGAGGAAGAUGUGGUCAACAUUUGGGGAGCUCUGACAGGCACCCAGAGAAGCAAAUGCUUGAGCUGGGUUCCUCUGGUCCAAUCCUUGUAGGUCUCUCCAUCUGCAUGGGAUCCCUCUAUUAGAGGGUCUUGACCUUGGCUUCAGAAUCAUCUGGAAAGUUUUGAAAGAUUCCAAUGCCUAGACUGCAGCCCAGACCAACUAAGACUCCCUGGGGGUGGUACCUUGGUGUCUGUAUUUUUAAAAAUUCCGCAUGUGAUAUUAAUUGGCAGUCAAGUUUGAAAAUCUCUGUCAUAAAUCAAGAAUUCAGUAAUUCAAAAUUAAGAGGAAGAUGACUGUUUUAUGGCUUGGAGAUUCUGUUGCUAUUUUCUGAGUGGGCUGGUAGAGAAAAGAAUAUUGUUGUUCAAAGGAGAUCAGUGGUUAUAUCUAGCCAGGUUCAAAUACAGGAGCAUCAUAUAAUUUUACUAACAGAGUCACCCUCCAUAUUAGAGGGUUUUACAUUCACAGAUUCAAACAACAGUGGAUAAAAAAUAUUCUAUUAUUAUUAUUUUAAAAACCAAUAAAAAUACAACAGUAAAAAAUAACAGUAAAAAACAAUUUGUGGUGUAACAACUAUUUACGUAACACUUAUACUCGACUAGGUAUUGUAAGUAAUCUAGAGAUGAUUUAAAAUAUAUGGGAAGAUGUGUGUAGGCCAAAUACAAAUACGACACCAUUUCAUAUUAGGGACUUCAGCAGACUUGGAUUUUGGUGUCCUUUAGAGUACUGGAAGCAAUCCUUUUGAUUACUGAGGGAUGACACAGAAUAAAAUUGGGAAAAUAACAGGAGGAGCUAGGCAUGGGAUAUGAGUUGUGAAGCAACCUGAAGUUAGUGAUUCUUACAUACUUUUUUUUAAAUCUCUCACUCCUAAAAAAUCUUGGGAAAGCUUGCAUCUUAAAGAAUAUUUAAGAAGAAACCAGAGAAGUUUCACCUAAGAAUACAUAAGAAGUUUUACUUAAGGUACAUAUAUAUUUAAAAUAUAUGGGAAGAUAUGGAAUAUAUAGUGUAUAUAUUCACAGGUACAUAUGUAUUUUUUGCAAAGAGUAUAGGGAUUCACUUUGCAUUUUUAUGUAAGUUUUGUAGAUGACUAUUUUUCUUUUGUCAGAAAAUACCACCCAUCUUCCUCACCUUCCUUGUAGUUGUGGAGAACUUGCAUGAAAGGCAGGUGAAGCCAGACAGUUUGAAUUUUUUUUUUUUAACACUAACCUGUGUCCUAUAGAGGAUGCCCCAUCUGGCUCCUUGAUCCUUUGCAAUCUUGAUGGGUCUUUUUAGCUCUUGAUCUGAAGCAGAAUGGUUCUGAAACAAACAGCUUAGACCCUUUGGGAAAUUAAUCAGACAGAGGAGGCAGUUCUGAGUCUCUAACAGAUACAUUAGGAGCGUUCUGAAGCUUGUCUAGCUUGACAGGAAAUUGCCUGGGGGAACUCUAAGAAAUCCAGACAGGCUUGGCUAAGGCAGGCAUUGAAGUCUGCAGUUGCUUAGAUUGUUCUACAUCAUUAGGACAUAGUAAAAAUUCAGUCCUAGAAGAUGCAAUCCAUUUGGUACAUGAUAUUGAUGGUACUGCAGAUAUUAGUAACAAAUUAGGUGGGCACUGGAAGGUCCUCAGUGUGGCCCUACUUUCUCAUAGCAUCCUUCAUGCUCGUUCUCAGCUUUCUCCAAGUUAAACAAGACAUGUUCAUGUUAGAGAGAUAUGGGUAUGAAGCUAGAAUAGAACUGUGGCUCUUGACGAGUCAUGAUAUGUGACUAUCUCGGGUAGGUGGUAGGUGAGUAGUGAGUGAGCACUGUCCGGGAGGGGGCCAGAGGGGAGUGAUGCUGCUACCUCCUCCCCUCCUGUAGCCCCAGGGCCCAUGGUCUUCACAGUUAUAGCCACUGCCCUCAGUCAGUGCCUCAUCAUCUCUCAGCAGGACAAGUGCCACAGACCCUUAACUGUUUUGGAGGUUCUCCUUGAGUCUUCCUGGUGUCAGUCCGACCCCCUCAUCAUGACCAGGUCUAUUUUACCAAACACCAAAUUGGUCACCAUCAGCACCCAUGGAUUGCAGGAUAAAAUCUAAACCCCUCAGCAUAAUAUAAAAACCCCUUCACGUCUGACUUCAAUAUUCCUGGUUCCCCUGGAGGGACUAAGUCCCGUGAUAGUCUUGUGAUAAUCCACCCCCGCCUCUUGAUUGCUUGCUGAUCUGCCUGUAGGGAGCCAGGAAAGACACAGAUGAGGAACCUGAGCCUGUUGGAGACCAGUCAUGCUCUUCUCUCUCUCUCCAUUUUACCUGUCCCUUAGGCACUGAGACACUGUUUGCAGUGGCUCCCACCUUCUAAUCUUGAAGGAGCUUACUUCUCUAAAAUCUACAACUUCUGUAGUGCUUUCUCACUCUAUGAUCUCUAUAUCCCCACAAAAGAAGAAGAUUUUGUCAAAUCUGACCUUCUGUCAUUUGUGUUAAAAAAACACUGAAUAUGAGUUUUCAAACUAGUAUGUAUACUUCCCACUGCCAGAGGACAAUUUGAAACUACUCUUAUCUCCUCCUUCCUUAAGAGUCACUACUGUAGGGAAACAUCAGGAGGUUUUAAUGAUACAUUAACUCGUGGAAAAUAUUAAUUAAGCUUCUAAGAUAGAGCUAGAAUUAAGCUCAGAUUCCACACUAUCUACUUCGCACAGACAGUGCUUUAUGCUUGCCUCUGGCUUUAGUCUGUUGGCUGCCAACCCAUAGCCCCAACCAGAGGGAGAUUUACAGUGAAAACAGUGGAGCUUACAUUUUAGAAACUCUGCUUUGACUGUGUCCUUCCGAAGUCUCUGCAAAUAGCUAUAGCAAUGUGAUACGUGGUUACAUGUUUGUAAAGUUGGUAAAAGUGAGACAUUUUAACUGCAUUAGGAACAAUAUCUCUUUCCCUAUUGAUUUCCCUUCUGUAUACCUCCCUUGGUGACAGGUAGUGGUAGAAUAGGUAUUCUGGCGACUCAUCUGAAGGGAAGUUUAACUGAGGAUACAUUUAAUGAGUUCAGUGGGAUUUAUUCAUGCACUUUACAAUCACUUCUGUGUACAGUUAAGUUACUGUGUAUGGCCUCAUGAUAUUCCUAUAGAGGGUCUGGAACCAGAAUCUCUUGGGACAGGGCUAGAAAGGUCAGGCUUCAUGAGAUCUGGGAUAAACCUUUCAGUUGUGUAUAUAUUUGCUUGUUGGCUUAUCAUUGAGUCCUCAGGACUGUGUUGGCUCAAAGUAGGUGUUUAAUAAAUGCUUAUGAAAUGAAUUUUUAUUCACAUAAAGCCUUGAGGAUGACUGUUUCUGCCUAUUUAAUAUCUUAUAGGGUAAGACUGCAGAUCAAGCUUUUCCAAUGUGGUGCUGACGUUUUGAGAACAGUUAGUGAGAAAUAGGAAAGUCCUUGAAGACCAUCUAACUCAGUGGCUUUCAAAUGGAAAGCAUGGAAAGACAACAGAAUUACAGGGAGUCUUCUUCAAACUGGGAUGCCAUAUUCUGUACAACUUCAUGUGAAGGUGUGGAGGAUGGGUAAUGUCUGAAUCUUCCAGACAAUGGGAGGGAUGGUGUGAGUUUGGAAAUUAUUCAUGAUGGUUCUGAGGCUCCCUUUAUUCCAGUUAAGAACACUGACUUAAUUCGAUCUGUUUUAUAAUACAUGGCCUCUGAGACAUAGAGCAGUGAGGAUAAGGACUCUUAGUUACAGAGCAGAGUCAGGGCUAGAACUCAAGCCUUAAAAAUUUCAAAAACAAUGUUCUUUCUAUGAUACUGUGCCUUGCUUCUGCACUUCUGGGUAUAGGCAACUUCCUUUUUCUUUAAUUCUCUACUAUUUGGAGGGAACAUCACAACUUAUACAAUUGCUUUGUAUUGUUUUACAUUACUUCCAUGGUUUCUUAUACAUAAAUAUAGUAUUUUCUUGUAUUUUAAAUUUUCUAAGAACAGGUAACACAUUUUAAACUUCCUUUGCAUAUCUGCAGGUAACUAGUACAUUGAUGAUAAGCUGAUAUUAAGAGAGCUAAAUAGUUGAUUAGUUUAUUAAUAUCUCAAAAUGUUAAUACAUUUUUAUUUUAUUUAUUAAUAAAAAUUUUAUUUAUUAAUGAAAUAAAUAAUAGCCUUUUACCACAUCCAUCAAAUGUGGUAAAAUGCUAUUAGGUACAACAUUUCAAGUAUAGGUACAACAUUUAGGUACAACAUUUCAAGUAUAUAUGCAAUUCUUGUUGGAAAUAUUAUCCAACUGUAAAAUACAUGUUGAUUAAAGACUAACAUGGGCUGUGGGCAUAGGUACAGCAACAGCAUACCAUAGACCAGAGAAAGAGUUGUCUUUGGAGGUCCAAGAUCAAGAAGCAGGAUGUGUAACAGGGCCCUUGAGAAUUCUAGCGCAGCCAGUACUCGAAAGUCAAGAUUUGAUUGAGAAUAAUUUCAUGGAGCUCUGUUGGUUAGUAAGCAAGGCCUGCCCCACACUUGUGGGUAACAUGGAAGCUACCUGAGCAGGUCAAGGCUCAGAAGACCCAUGACCAGAACUCGGGUUUUUGAACAUGAAACAGAUAAUUCACCAAGAACUUGGUUACCUUCUUGUACAUUUUAUGCUUUUAUAUUUCUUCUUCCCUUUCAUUUUCAUACAAUGAUGCAUUUAUAACUUGUAGCUAGAUUUUUAGAUUACUGCCAGAUGAAUUCAGUCAAUUUAAUUAAUUAAGCAAAUUAAAAUAAAAAUUAUUUUUUAGGGGCUGUUAAAACUUAAAAGAUGUUAAUACAUUAUUCUCAUGUGCUUUUAUUAUUAUUAUAAAUGUUGUUUCAUUGUUAGCCCUGUGCUAAUUGUUAGUUUGGGGAAUGAUUUACAUGUUUAAACCUGGGAGAAAUCAUUUUUGCUAUGGCUAAAAUGAUUUUAAUUUACUUGUAUUUUUGUUCAGCACAGUGUCUUUUGCAACCACGUAAAUUUUGAUUAGAGCCUGAAAUAAUUCAGUAAAAUAAGAUAAUGCUU
Callithrix jacchus (white-tufted-ear marmoset) is the source of this 7686-nucleotide non-coding RNA. Lineage: Eukaryota; Metazoa; Chordata; Mammalia; Primates; Cebidae. The record is from RefSeq and is a predicted model, not a curated record.